RNAcentral lists this unclassified non-coding RNA (160 nucleotides) under uncultured Helotiales. RNAcentral's name for it is "sequence contains ITS1". The record is from RNAcentral. Lineage: Eukaryota; Fungi; Ascomycota; Leotiomycetes; Helotiales.
CAGAGUUCAUGCCCUCACGGGUAGAUCUCCCACCCUUGAAUAUUUUAUACCUUUGUUGCUUUGGCGGGCCGCUUCGGCUACCGGCUUCGGCUGGUGAGUGCCCGCCAGAGGACCCCUAAACUCUGAAUGUUAAUGUCGUCUGAGUAUUAUAAAAUAAUUA